GCCCGCUACAGAAACUCAAAGGAAUUGACGGACCCCGCACAAGCGGUGGAUCAUGUUGUUUAAUUCGAUGAUACGCGAAGAACCUUACCAGGUCUUGACAUCCCCCGCGAUGCUUUAGAGAUAAAGCGGAGGUAUUCGGGGAGACAGGUGGUGCAUGGUUGUCGUCAGCUCGUGUCGUGAGAUGUUGGGUUAAGUCCCGCAACGAGCGCAACCCCUAUUGCUAGUUACCAUCAUUAAGUUGGGGACUCUAGCGAGACUGCCAGUGAUAAACUGGAGGAAGGUGGGGAUGACGUCAAAUCAUCAUGCCCCUUAUGACCUGGGCUACAAACGUGAUACAAUGGCUGGAACAAAGGGAUGCGAAGCAGUGAUGUGGAGCGAAACCCAUAAAAACAGUCUCAGUUCGGAUUGAAGUCUGCAACUCGACUUCAUGAAGUCGGAAUCGCUAGUAAUCGCGGAUCAGAACGCCGCGGUGAAUACGUUCUCGGGGUUU
RNAcentral lists this ribosomal RNA (490 nucleotides) under uncultured Acholeplasma sp. RNAcentral's name for it is "bacterial SSU rRNA". It matches the Rfam family "Bacterial small subunit ribosomal RNA", at positions 885 to 1382 of the family's 1533-position model. The record is from RNAcentral. Lineage: Bacteria; Bacillati; Mycoplasmatota; Mollicutes; Acholeplasmatales; Acholeplasmataceae.